RNAcentral lists this ribosomal RNA (553 nucleotides) under uncultured bacterium. Its description in RNAcentral is "bacterial SSU rRNA". It matches the Rfam family "Bacterial small subunit ribosomal RNA", at positions 337 to 903 of the family's 1533-position model. The record is from RNAcentral.
UCCUACGGGAGGCAGCAGUGGGGAAUUUUCCGCAAUGGGCGAAAGCCUGACGGAGCAAUCUCGCGUGAGGGAUGACUGCCUAUGGGUUGUAAACCUCUUUUUUCAGGGAGGAAUAAAUGACGUGUACCUGAAGAAUAAGCAUCGGCUAACUCCGUGCCAGCAGCCGCGGUAAUACGGAGGAUGCAAGUGUUAUCCGGAAUCACUGGGCGUAAAGCGUCUGUAGGUGGUUUAAUAAGUCAACUGUUAAAUCUUGAAGCUCAACUUCAAAAUCGCAGUCGAAACUAUUAGACUAGAGUAUAGUAGGGGUAAAGGGAAUUUCCAGUGGAGCGGUGAAGUGCGUAGAGAUUGGAAAGAACACCGAUGGCGAAGGCACUUUACUGGGCUAUUACUGACACUCAGAGACGAAAGCUAGGGUAGCAAAUGGGAUUAGAUACCCCAGUAGUCCUAGCUGUAAACAAUGGAUACUAGAUGUUGAACAGAUCGACCUGUGCAGUAUCAAAGCUAACGCGUUAAGUAUCCCGCCUGGGAAGUAUGCUCGCAAGAGUGAAACUCA